RNAcentral lists this ribosomal RNA (334 nucleotides) under uncultured eukaryote. Its description in RNAcentral is "partial 18S ribosomal RNA". It matches the Rfam family "Eukaryotic small subunit ribosomal RNA", at positions 1470 to 1796 of the family's 1831-position model. The record is from RNAcentral.
CCCUUAGAUGUCCGGGGCCGCACGCGCGCUACACUGAAGGAAUCAGCGUGGCUUUCUCCCUGACCCGAAAGGGUUGGGAAACCCGUUGAAUCUCCUUCGUGAUAGGGAUUGGGGCUUGAAAUUGUUCCCCAUGAACGAGGAAUUCCCAGUAAGCGCGAGUCAUAAGCUCGCGUUGAUUACGUCCCUGCCCUUUGUACACACCGCCCGUCGCUACUACCGAUUGAACGGUUUAGUGAGGGCCUCGGAUUGGUCUCGGCCCGCUCUUUACCGGGCGGCGCCGUUGGUCGAGAAGACGCUCGAACUUGAUCGUUUAUAGGAAGUAAAAGUCGUAACA